GUUUUCCCCUAGCUCUGUACCAGCACGGCCUCCACCAGGCAUCAUGGACAACAAUUCUGUAAAUGCAACGAUACGACACAUGAGUGGAACUCCAUCUGGACAUGUUGGCCAACAAUCUCCUCCUAACAUCUAUAGACGGCAGGGCGGCAUGGAUAUCAACUCUGUAAAUGUUGUGCCACAUCAAAUGAAUGGAAAUUCAUAUGGACAUGUUACUGGACAAGCUUUUCCAAUGCCUUAUCAACAGGAUGGUAGUGGAAACAAUUCUGCUAGUGUAGAUUUACAGAGAAUGGAUGGAAGUACCUUCCGGUAUUCAGCACGGCAGAACACUUUUCAGCCGGUAAUAAUAACAAAACUUUGUCAAGUCAUUUGAAUUUAUUCAUUCAUCAGUGCACAAGAUUGAAUGAUUUCACAGCUCUUGGUUUUUCUUUUUGCAGGAAUCAAUGCAACGAAGUUCUACAAACGUACUGGAGAGAAUGUGGGGAUCUUCCAUCAGAGACCAAGGGACUCCUACAACAAACUAUCACAGCAGCCACAUGAGGGACAGGGAUACCACUGACAAUGGAGGAGACGAUUUUUUCUAAUAGGAUGCAGUAACAUUUUAGUCAUAUUGGAACUUAUCCGUAGAUAAUAUUAGUCGUUUAUCUAUCACUUGUUUUAAAUGUUAGAUUUCCAAUUCUUUAUUUACUUGUGAAAGACUACAAACAUAACUUUGCUUUUAUUCUCUAAUGAUGCAAGGACAUGAUAUCUCUAUACUG
Long non-coding RNA from Panicum virgatum (switchgrass), 755 nucleotides. RefSeq lists it as uncharacterized. Lineage: Eukaryota; Viridiplantae; Streptophyta; Magnoliopsida; Poales; Poaceae. The record is from RefSeq and is a predicted model, not a curated record. The transcript is spliced from 4 exons.